UACGUAGGUGACAAGCGUUGUCCGGAUUUACUGGGCGUAAAGAGCGCGCAGGCGGUCGAUCAAGUCGAGUGUGAAAGCCCCCGGCCCAACUGGGGAGGGUCAUUCGAAACUGGUCGACUCGAAGGCAGGAGAGGGUAGUGGAAUUCUUGGUGUAGCGGUGAAAUGCGUAGAUAUCAAGAGGAACACCUGCGGCGAAGGCGGGUUGCUGGGCCGACACUGACGCUGAGGCGCGAAAGCCAGGGGAGCGAACGGG
RNAcentral lists this ribosomal RNA (253 nucleotides) under uncultured bacterium. RNAcentral describes it as "partial 16S ribosomal RNA". It matches the Rfam family "Bacterial small subunit ribosomal RNA", at positions 524 to 776 of the family's 1533-position model. The record is from RNAcentral.